UUCAGCAGGCAACCAAUGGGAAACUUGGAGCAGUUUGCAUGCAUUUUAAUUGGGCAAGAAUCCCACCCCAUUCUACACCACCUGUACGCAUAGAAGGAGCCUCAUGGGUUAUCUUGCUGGUCAAUUUCCUUCAGAAUUCUACCACACGAUACCCUAUUUCCCUCAUCAUCUCUAUACCGCCAACCCACUAAGGAAGAGACCUAAGAUCAGAAAACUCCAUCUUACCUCCCCUCCGUACCAGAAUCGUAAACCUCCAAAGGAAGAACAUCAAGGCAAAAUUCUGUACCAUCUUCCCUUCAUCUUCGUUCCAAUAUCUUAAGCCAAAGAGGAAGACCUCAUCACUUUAACAUACGUCUCUUUCCUAUUCUUCUUUGUCCAGCUGAGCAGCAACGCACAAGGAGAUUGAACUUGAGUUUUCAUCCCCUAUUCCCUCCCUUAGUGCGCACAACCCCAUUAAGAAGGAGAUGAUUGGAGCUCGAAUUCUUGCCUAGUUCGAGUGAGAAUAAUUGAUAAAUCUUUGGUGGCUGUAUCUCUAAGCUAUUAGUCAAUCGUUUGGGUACAUGGCAGAGGCUGUGAAUCAAAAAUAACAAAUCAACACCCCUACUCACCCUUGCUGUUUCGGUUUUAAGGUGCGCAUAAUUAUUAAAGUGUGGGCUGGUUUUGGUUGAUUAUUGCGUGGACACAAGGAGGACGCAAAAGCAUAUGAGGCCAUGGAUUAUUUGGAUGUUUGCUGUUAAAUUAUGCUGUUUGGACUUGUUGUUGUCGCUGUUUUAUUUGAUGGAUUACUGUAUUAAUUUGAGGAGUUUGGAUUAUUGUUGGAACUAUGAUUUUAUUGU
Molecule: long non-coding RNA, 836 nt
Organism: Gastrolobium bilobum
Lineage: Eukaryota; Viridiplantae; Streptophyta; Magnoliopsida; Fabales; Fabaceae
Exons: 4
Source: RefSeq, a predicted model, not a curated record